Molecule: ribosomal RNA, 389 nt
Filed under: uncultured bacterium
Lineage: Bacteria
Description: bacterial SSU rRNA
Rfam family: Bacterial small subunit ribosomal RNA
Source: RNAcentral
AGCGAACGCUGGCGGCAGGCCUAAAACAUGCAAGUCGAACGUCGUAGCAAUACGGAGUGGCAGACGGGUGAGUAACACGUGGGAACGUGCCUUUUGGUUCGGAACAACCCAGGGAAACUUGGGCUAAUACCGGAUAAGCCCUUCGGGGAAGAUUUAUCGCCAGAAGAUCGGCCCGCGUCUGAUUAGCUAGUUGGUGGGGUAACGGCCCACCAAGGCUACGAUCAGUAGCUGGUCUGAGAGGAUGAUCAGCCACACUGGGACUGAGACACGGCCAGACUCCUACGGGAGGCAGCAGUUAGGAAUCUUGGACAAUGGGCGCAAGCCUGAUCCAGCCAUGCCGCGUGAGUGAUGAAGGCCUUAGGGUUGUAAAGUCUCUUUCAGCGGGGAAG